This is a long non-coding RNA of Varanus komodoensis (Komodo dragon), 688 nucleotides long. RefSeq lists it as uncharacterized. NCBI's taxonomy places the organism in Eukaryota, Metazoa, Chordata, Lepidosauria, Squamata, Varanidae. The transcript has 3 exons. The record is from RefSeq and is a predicted model, not a curated record.
ACAGACAUUUUCAGACAAUGACUGACUGAAAAUAUACUAAAGCCAUGUCAUAUGCUGUUAUGCCAUAGUUGCCCAGGUCAUUAAUCAAAACAACUGAGAAAAGAGGAAUCAAGUGGGAACUUCAUUAGUCACUGAUAUACAUUUGUUAAUAGUUUUAGAAGUGUGAAUACUUCUCAUGAACUGAAUGAGCUCUAUUCAUUUUAAAUUUAAUUGAAAGGUGAAAAGUUCAAUGCUGUUAAAGGAAAGUAUUUUUACACAACUUCUAAUUACUGCUGGAAUCUGUAUUGGAUGAUGGUCAAGAAUCUACCAAGAUUUCUUUUUUUAAACCCCUGAACAUAUGAAUGUCUGAAAAUCUGCUGAAUUCUCCUGACCUGGAAGAAGGUAGUCUGCUAUACAUUCUGAAUGCUGGAUCCACAGAACUCUGGAUGCAUUUAAAUCCACUGAGGAUUUCUCUGAACAAUCUGAAGGCAGAGCUGCUCCUCGAAGUGACCCCUGAGCAGUUGCCACCUGGAGAGCAAACCGAACAGGUUUCCUGUGACUUUAACAACAGUGUGCCAAGCAGGAAUCCAGAAUUUGAGAUUUUACCACUAUUUCAUCUGUUUUGUGCUUAUUGGCAAAUGCAUCACCCAUCUGAAUAUCUACCUGUUCCACAACUGUAAAGAAAGCACUGCAAAUCCUAACAGAAAAA